Molecule: ribosomal RNA, 276 nt
Filed under: Triticum aestivum (bread wheat)
Lineage: Eukaryota; Viridiplantae; Streptophyta; Magnoliopsida; Poales; Poaceae
Description: partial small subunit ribosomal RNA
Source: RNAcentral
GAUUCUUUCACUGUUCUCCAAGCGUCUUAUCAAGAUCUGCGGGAGAAUGAGGGAGGAUCCGUUUUCUUUCGAAAUGCUGUUUCCCACAACCGGGAUCUCCUUGAGGCGGAAAGCUCUACAAGGAGGUGCCUGGAAGUGGAACAGAGGAUCCGGUGGGAAGAAAUCCCCAAGAGCAAGGCAAGUCCCGAAAGAGCUGAGCACGAGCAUGCUCUCGACUUGUUUAAGUCGGAGGAUCUUAGAAGGGAAUUAGAAAAAAAAAGUGGGGUAGCUCAGUAA